Long non-coding RNA from Scylla paramamosain (green mud crab), 562 nucleotides. RefSeq lists it as uncharacterized. The transcript has 4 exons. NCBI's taxonomy places the organism in Eukaryota, Metazoa, Arthropoda, Malacostraca, Decapoda, Portunidae. The record is from RefSeq and is a predicted model, not a curated record.
GGGAGGUGAGUGGUGUUGCCGGCUGACUUCAGGCUGUGACGGGGAAGGCAGUGGAUGAGAAACACUACACUCACUUAGAUGUGGAGGUAGUGUUGGCCUCUUGCAGUGCACGGUUGAGGGCUGGACUGUGGUUAACGAGGAGAGGUUCAAGAUGCUGUGGCAAGGUCAUAAGUUUACUACCCCUGUCACCUGCGUAAUAUAUUCCUGAGGAGAGAAGGAUGAUGACAGCUGAGCUGAGGUUCCUGGACGAGAGGUCCAGGCAAGCAAGUCUGGGAUGGUUGCCAACUGAGAAGACACAGGGGCCAUAAUGGUGGAGAGUGCAGCCUCUACUGCACUUUGACACUGUGCUUGAGCUUCAGUCAGACUCUGUUCCAACAGCCUCCCAUCUUCCUCUGUAUGGAGAGAAAUGAAAUAAAUAAAAUAAAAACUUGAGAUGAAAGAAGUAAAUCAGGAGUAGGUGUGAAUGAAGUGGUGGGAUUCCAGCUGAACUUGGUGGCAAUUGUUGCGAAGCGUGUGGCUAAGGAGUGUUCUGUGCUGUCUAUUGCCAUCACCAACUCUCCUG